UGCCAGCCGCCGCGGUAAUACGGAGGGUGCAAGCGUUAAUCGGAAUUACUGGGCGUAAAGCGCGCGUAGGCGGUUUGGUCAGUUGGAUGUGAAAGCCCCGGGCUUAACCUGGGAACUGCAUUCAAUACUGCCAGACUAGAGUACGAGAGAGGGGGGUAGAAUUUCUAGUGUAGCGGUGAAAUGCGUAGAUAUUAGAAGGAAUACCAGUGGCGAAGGCGGCCCCCUGGAUUGAUACUGACACUGAGGUGCGAAAGCGUGGGGAGCAAACAGGAUUAGAUA
This 279-nucleotide ribosomal RNA is filed under the name uncultured bacterium. RNAcentral's name for it is "partial 16S ribosomal RNA". It matches the Rfam family "Bacterial small subunit ribosomal RNA", at positions 506 to 784 of the family's 1533-position model. The record is from RNAcentral.